UAUCACCCCCUUUUUAUGUUACCAUCCCUUCUGUCUGACGUCACGCCCUCUGCCUUUAUAUCUUCACUGCUCUCUGUCUCAUUGAAUGAACUCUGUUAUGUUCAUCCUGGUAGUGUCACCACAACUGCCCUCCACUCAGAGUCUGUGCAUUCUGUUGCCAUUCCCCCUGGCUCUGUCUCCUCUCACUCUGAAUCCUCCAUCUCUGUCCCUUGCUUGGCUUCUGUCUCCUCUAUUUCUGUUGGAGCCUCUUUCUCUGAGUUCUACCUUCUAUCUCUGUCUCUGUCCCCUCAGCUUCUGUUCCACUUCUCUCUUUGCUAUUCUCUUUUCUUUUCUUUCUUUUUGACAGAGUCUCACUCUGUUGCCCAGACGAGGCUGGAGUGCAGUGGUGCGAACACCACGCACUGCAGCCUCCAACUCUCAGGCUCUAGUGAUCCUCCCACCUCAGCCUCCCAGGUAGCUAGGACCACAGAUGUGUGUCACUAUCACCACGCCUGGCUAAUUUUAAACAUUUUUGUAGGGACACGGUCUCCUUUUGUUGCCCAGGUUGGAGGGUAGUGGCAUCAACAUAGCUCACUGCAGCCUUCACCUCCCUGGCUCAAGUGGUCCUCCUGCCUCAGCCUCCCAAAUGGCUGAGACCACAGGCGCACAACACCAUGCCCAGUGAACUUUUAUAUGUUUUUUUGUAGAGACAGGCUUUUGCCACGUUGGCCGGGCUGGUCUUGAACUCCUGACCUCAAGUGAUCUGCCCACCUCUGCCUCCCAAAGUGCUGGGAUUACAUUCAUGAGCCACCAUGCCCGGCCUGUCUUUGCUAUUUGCCACAGCUCUCUGUGCCCUCUGUGCACUCUUAAUCUAGUAUUGCUUCCUGAAUCUCUGAUAUUGACACCAUUAUCUCUGCCCCAUCCAUCUGAGUUUGUUCUCUUUGCCUCACUCGCUGUUGCCUCAGAUUUUGUCUCUGGCACCAUCUCCAUUUUUGUCACUUUUCCCUGUAUCACUUCUGUUAUCUCUGCCAUGUGUCUAACACUGUCCACUAUAUCUUUAUAGCCUUUGGGUCUCUGUCUUCUCUGUCUCUAUGGCUGUCACCUUCUCUGUGUCGGCCACAUCCCCUUAUCUCUUUCUCCCCUAUCACUGUCCCCUAGUCUCUGUCCCUUCUGUCACAGUCCUCCCUGUUUCUAUUACUGUCCCCUUGGUCUCUCUCCCAUCUUCCUCCUUCCUCUUCUUCCCCUCUCCUUCUCCUUCUCCUUCCCCUUCUCCCUCUCCUCUCCCUCUCCUUCUUCUCUCUUUCUCUCACUUACUCUUUCUUUUUCGUUGUUGUUGUUGUUGCUUUGUGUUUUUUUGACGUAGUCUCACCCUGUCGCCCAGGCUGGAGUGCAGUGACACAAUCUUGGUAAACUGCAACCUUUGCCUCCCGGGUUCAAGCGAUUCUCCUGCCUCAGCCUCUCCAGUAGCUGGAACUCUCCAGUAGCAGGCACUACAGGCGCCGCCACCAGACCCGCCUAAUUUUUGUAUUUUUAGUAGAGAUGGGGUUUCCCCGUGUUGGCCAGGAUGGUCCUGAACUUCCGGCAUCAAGUGAUCCUCCUGCCUUGACGUCCCAAAGUGUUGGGUUUACAGUUGUGAGCCACCACGCCUGGUCCUCUUUCCCGUCUUUCUUAGACCUCUUGACCUCUCUCCUGGACCGUGGGGUCUUUGUCUUGGUCCCCUCUCUAGUUCGCUCCCAUCAGAUUCACUGUCUUCUCUCUCUGGUCCUCUCCCCUUUGCCUCGGACUGUAUCCUCUUCGUCGCUGUUGAUCCCACUGCUGCACUGUCCUCGCUGCUGUCUUCUCCCAGUCCUGUCGCCAUCCCCAUCCCCAUCCCCUGCCUCAGUCCCCUGUGCCGUCGGCCGCUCCACCUGUGACCGUGGAGUCUUUUUCUGUCCCCUGCGUCUCUGUCACAUCGUCUCUUGUCGCUCCUAGUCGGAGGCCCUGCCUCCCUCGCCUCAGGGCCCUUCCCCGUCUCCUUCUCUUCCUGUCAUCCCUGGCUCCUUCCCAGCGUCUUUCCUUCCUUCUCCGAAUCGUCCUCUGCUCCUCUGGGUUUGCGCCUGCUGGGAGCUCUGCCCCUGGGAGCUGUUUCCUCCUCUCAGUCUCUGGGUGUUUCCUAGGGGGUCACAUGCUCUUCUAGGCCUGUCCUGGGGCAGAGGGGCCACCCUGAGGUCCAUCAGUCAGUCUGACCAUCUCCUUCGAACCUCGAGCCUCUCGCCUCGCCUCGCCUGACGCCCUUUCCCACCCUUUAUCUUUCCCUUCAGGAUAAAAAAUAAAAAGGGUCGGAAGCAUCAGCGCAUAGGGCCCAAUCGCCACUCCGGAACAGGUGCGCGCGGCGGGCCCGCGGGCUGGCGGGAGCUCACACGAACUCACGCGCGAGCUCGCAGGCCGCGGCGGCCGGCUGGCCACUAGUGACGUCGCAGGGGCUUGUCCCUGCCUUACUGGCUGCCUUCGACCAGCGCGCGCUUGCUGGAGUAGACGGCCGCGCCUCGCCAAGCGCCAGGGGGCGCUCAGCGCUAGAGCUCACUGACCCUGGGAGCCCUAUGGAGAGACUCGUGUCAUUCUGGCAACCCUGUCCUACCUGAUUGGAUACCUGCUGCAGUUCGUUGGAUCCAUUACUCUGAUCGGAUGCCUGAUGCAGUGCAGCAGUGCCAUCACAGCUCCCUGCAGCCUCAAACUCCUGGGCUCAAGUGAUUCUCCUGCCUCAGCCACCAGAGUAGCUGGGACUACAGCCGAAGGUAUCAUAACAGAUACAGCAUUAUACACCUGGAGCUCCAAGUGACCAUCUCAUUGCCACUGCAAACACCUACCCGAGAGAGAAGCCAAUAGCCAGGCACGGUGGCUCACGCCUGUAAUCCCAGCACUUUGGGAGGCCAAGGUGGGCAGAUCACAGGAGGUCAGGAGUUCGAGACCAGCCUGCCAACAUGGUGAAACCCCGUCUCUACUAAAAAUACAAAAAAUUAGCCAGGCGUGGUGGCGAGCGGCUGUAAUCCCAGCUACUCAGGAGGCUGAGGCAGGAGAAUCGCUUGAAACCGUGAGGUUGCAGUGAGCCGAGAUCACACCACUGCACUCCAGCCUGGGCAACAAGAGUGAAACUCCAUCCAAAAAAAAAAAAAAAAAGAGGAAAGCAGAAGUGAGAGUCCCUUGAACAGCUGGAUCUAACCAUGCCUGAAGUCCCUCUGUGUUCAAUGUGUUCAUAGGCUUUCCAUGGACAGAGGUCUUUCAAUUCUGUUUACGGCUUUGGGUUGAAUUUUGUGUUCUGUACUCACAAUGAUCCUGACUAACACCAUUUUUAUAAACUGAGGCUCAGAGAG
Long non-coding RNA from Pan troglodytes (chimpanzee), 3329 nucleotides. RefSeq lists it as uncharacterized. The record is from RefSeq and is a predicted model, not a curated record. The transcript is spliced from 3 exons. Lineage: Eukaryota; Metazoa; Chordata; Mammalia; Primates; Hominidae.